CUCCACUGUUGCGCCUGUCGGCGGCGCCCUGGCGCAGGGGCGGCGCCUCUGGCCGUCAGUAGCAGCCCCGGCCCACAGUCGCCGACGCCGCCGUGCAGUGCCUGCCGCCAUUCUUCCACCGCUCAGGCCACCAAGCGACGUGAACAUGAGUGACGCAGAGGGAGCAAACAAGUGUUCAAACUGCCCGACGGGCUACUACGGCAAGGAGUUCACCACGUGCGGCAUCAUCCUGGCCGUCUGCUUCUUCCCGCUGGGCAUCAUCUGCUGCUGGAUGAUGCGCGAGGACAAGUGCACGGCGUGUGGCCACACGCGGUAGGCCGACGGCGGAUGAGACCGGAGGGGCGGCCCAGCCGGGCGCUGGCCACAGCGCGGUGGCGGCGGCGGGCGGCGCGCCCGGCCCGUCGGCGCUGCUACGCACGCGCGCUUUGCGGCCAGAUGAGGGUGGUAGGGCGGGGAGGUAGACCGCCGGAGCGCGGGCGUCGCUCGGCCGCCGCCCGCGCGACCCGUCAGCCGCCCGCCGGUCGUGUCUAGCCUGCGCUUUGUCCCGUUCGUCAGUGUGCAUUCCGAACAGUCAAGUCGCAACAGGGUGCAUAGUGGCUAUACCGGCAUCGGCGGAGCGUUACCACUACGUCACCGCAACAGGUGGCGCACUGGCUAGACGUGGCUAUACGAGAGUUGCUUGUGGCAGUGAGCGCUUGUUCCGAGAGGCGCUUCAAAAAUGUGGCACGCGCGCUGGAUCUGCAGCGCGGAAACGCAACAGAGCGCUGAAUCAGUACCUCGAAGAGACACCGCUGCCAGAGUCGUCCCGCGCACUCCGCACCGUAUGGUUUUCUACGCCGCGAGGAUCCGUUUUUGUACACCGCGUGCAUCCGCGCCGGUCCGGCCGAAGCGAAAAGUCAGGCUCAUCGCCAUCGAACGUGUUUUGUAUCCGCUACUGCUUGACCGAGCACGUAAUCGCAUAGCCGUUAUUAAACGACCGUGUACGUGUUC
This is a long non-coding RNA of Pollicipes pollicipes, 990 nucleotides long. RefSeq lists it as uncharacterized. The record is from RefSeq and is a predicted model, not a curated record. Lineage: Eukaryota; Metazoa; Arthropoda; Thecostraca; Pollicipedomorpha; Pollicipedidae. The transcript has 3 exons.